RNAcentral lists this small RNA (641 nucleotides) under Pan troglodytes (chimpanzee). RNAcentral's name for it is "retained intron". The record is from RNAcentral. Lineage: Eukaryota; Metazoa; Chordata; Mammalia; Primates; Hominidae.
CUUCGUGUGUGGGUAGCAGAACCUCCAGCUUCCAGCAGAACGGGGGGAUGCUAGUGAUCAUUUGUGGCUGGGGUGGAACAAAAGCUAAAAUAAAGACAAAUCUCAAGGGGGCAAAAGGUGCCAUUUAUGUCCGGUGAACUCCUCUCCCCUCGCUGCUCUUUCACUUGCGGAAGGUCUCAGGUUACCUCCUCUGAAGGUCUUUCUCUGCCUUACUUGCUUCUCUUCCUCCCAUCAGAGCCUGCCCUCGCAAAACCCGAUCUUGAAGAAUAUCACCGACUACCUGAUUGAGGAAGUGAGCGCCGAGGAGGAGGAGCUGCUGGGGAGCAGCGGGGGCGCUCCUCCUGAGGAGCCUCCUAAGGAAGGGAACCCGGCAGAGAUCAACGUGGAGCGGGAUGAGAAGUUGAUUAAGGUGCCAGUGGCAGCGCGGGGCACGUGGGGGCUCGGGCGGUGAGGGCAGGAGCUGAACGCUCGCAUUCACUUCCCUUAGGUCUUGGACAAGCUCCUCCUUUACCUGCGCAUCGUGCAUUCCUUGGAUUAUUACAACACCUGUGAGUACCCCAACGAGGACGAGAUGCCCAAUCGCUGUGGGAUCAUCCACGUUCGGGGGCCCAUGCCACCCAACCGCAUUAGUCACGGGGAAG